AGAAAUAUGUCUGAUAAAAGAGUUACUUUGAUAGAGUAAAGAAUAGAGGUGUAAAUCCUCUUAUUUCUA
RNAcentral lists this transfer RNA (69 nucleotides) under Tupaia belangeri (northern tree shrew). RNAcentral's name for it is "tRNA (ENSTBEG00000021316.1)". It matches the Rfam family "tRNA". From Rfam's summary of the family: Transfer RNA (tRNA) molecules are approximately 80 nucleotides in length. Lineage: Eukaryota; Metazoa; Chordata; Mammalia; Scandentia; Tupaiidae. The record is from RNAcentral.